RNAcentral lists this microRNA precursor (63 nucleotides) under Rattus norvegicus (Norway rat). RNAcentral describes it as "Rno-Mir-1955_pre stem-loop". Lineage: Eukaryota; Metazoa; Chordata; Mammalia; Rodentia; Muridae. The record is from RNAcentral.
AGUCCCAGGGUGCACUGCACCUUUUUCUUAACUUCAGAUAAGAGCAUUGCAUGCUGGGAUAUG